UUUUAUAUAGUUUAAAAUAAAACAAUACAUUUUCAUUGUAUAAAUAGUAUAUAAAUACUUAUAAAUA
This 67-nucleotide transfer RNA is filed under the name Diestrammena asynamora. RNAcentral's name for it is "tRNA-Glu". Lineage: Eukaryota; Metazoa; Arthropoda; Insecta; Orthoptera; Rhaphidophoridae. The record is from RNAcentral.